GACGAACGCUGGCGGCGUGCUUAACACAUGCAAGUCGAACGAAGUGGCGAACGGGUGAGUAACGCGUAAUCAACCUGCCCUUCAGAGGGGGACAACAGUUGGAAACGACUCCUAAUACCGCAUACUGAUGGACGGGUUUGCGUCUGAUUAGCUAGUUGGGGGGGUAACGGCCCACCAAGGCGAUGGUCAGGAGCCGGUCUGAGAGGAUGAACGGCCACAUUGGGACUGGGGCACGGCCCAGACUGCUACGGGAGGCAGCAGUGGGGAAUCUUCGGAAAUGGAGGAAAGUCUGACGGAGCAAAGCCGCGUGAGUGAUGACGGCCUUCGGGUUGUAAAGCUCUGUUAAUCGGGACGCGGUACCGGAAUAGAAAGCCACGGCUAACUACGUGCCAGCAGCCGCGGUAAUAC
RNAcentral lists this ribosomal RNA (408 nucleotides) under uncultured bacterium. Its description in RNAcentral is "partial 16S ribosomal RNA". It matches the Rfam family "Bacterial small subunit ribosomal RNA", at positions 28 to 526 of the family's 1533-position model. The record is from RNAcentral.